This 406-nucleotide ribosomal RNA is filed under the name uncultured bacterium. Its description in RNAcentral is "bacterial SSU rRNA". It matches the Rfam family "Bacterial small subunit ribosomal RNA", at positions 976 to 1381 of the family's 1533-position model. The record is from RNAcentral.
UAGCCUUGACAUACUACAGAAUUUGACAGAGAUGUUGAAGUGCCUUCGGGAGCUGUAAUACAGGUGCUGCACGGCUGUCGUCAGCUCGUGUCGUGAGAUGUUGGGUUAAGUCCCGCAACGAGCGCAACCCUCGUCCUUAGUUGCUAGCAGUUCGGCUGAGCACUCUAAGGAGACUGCCUUCGUAAGGAGGAGGAAGGUGAGGACGACGUCAAGUCAUCAUGGCCCUUAUGGCUAGGGCUACACACGUGCUACAAUGGGGCGUACAGAGUGUUGCGAUACCGCGAGGUGGAGCUAAUCACUUAAAGCGUCUCUCAGUUCGGAUUGGAGUCUGCAACUCGACUCCAUGAAGCUGGAAUCACUAGUAAUCGUAGAUCAGCAAUGCUACGGUGAAUACGUUCCCGGGUCU